AGAACGAACGCUGGCGGCAUGCCUAACACAUGCAAGUCGAACGAGGUCCUUCGGGGCCUAGUGGCGCACGGGUGCGUAACGCGUGGGAAUCUGCCCUGGGGUACGGAAUAACAGUGAGAAAUUACUGCUAAUACCGUAUGAUGACGUAAGUCCAAAGAUUUAUCGCCCUGGGAUGAGCCCGCGUAGGAUUAGCUAGUUGGUGGGGUAAAGGCCUACCAAGGCGACGAUCCUUAGCUGGUCUGAGAGGAUGAUCAGCCACACUGGGACUGAGACACGGCCCAGACUCCUACGGGAGGCAGCAGUGGGGAAUAUUGGACAAUGGGCGAAAGCCUGAUCCAGCAAUGCCGCGUGAGUGAUGAAGGCCUUAGGGUUGUAAAGCUCUUUUACCCGGGAAGAUAAUGACUGUACCGGGAGAAUAACGCCCGGCUAACUCCGCGCCAGCAGCCGC
Molecule: ribosomal RNA, 448 nt
Filed under: uncultured bacterium
Lineage: Bacteria
Description: SSU rRNA
Rfam family: Bacterial small subunit ribosomal RNA
Source: RNAcentral